RNAcentral lists this ribosomal RNA (253 nucleotides) under uncultured bacterium. RNAcentral describes it as "partial 16S ribosomal RNA". It matches the Rfam family "Bacterial small subunit ribosomal RNA", at positions 524 to 776 of the family's 1533-position model. The record is from RNAcentral.
UACGAAGGGGGCUAGCGUUGCUCGGAAUCACUGGGCGUAAAGCGCACGUAGGCGGAUCGUUAAGUCAGGGGUGAAAUCCUGGAGCUCAACUCCAGAACUGCCUUUGAUACUGAAGAUCUUGAGUUCGGGAGAGGUGAGUGGAACUGCGAGUGUAGAGGUGAAAUUCGUAGAUAUUCGCAAGAACACCAGUGGCGAAGGCGGCUCACUGGCCCGAUACUGACGCUGAGGCACGAAAGCGUGGGGAGCAAACAGG